This 253-nucleotide ribosomal RNA is filed under the name uncultured bacterium. RNAcentral describes it as "partial 16S ribosomal RNA". It matches the Rfam family "Bacterial small subunit ribosomal RNA", at positions 524 to 776 of the family's 1533-position model. The record is from RNAcentral.
UACGUAGGGGGCAAGCGUUGUCCGGAUUUAUUGGGCGUAAAGAGCGUGUAGGCGGCCAGGUAGGUCGGCUGUGAAAACUCGAGGCUCAACCUCGAGCUGUCGGCCGAAACCAUCUGGCUAGAGUCCGGAAGAGGAGAAUGGAAUUCCCGGUGUAGCGGUGAAAUGCGCAGAUAUCGGGAAGAACACCCGUGGCGAAGGCGGUUCUCUGGGACGGUACUGACGCUGAGACGCGAAAGCUAGGGGAGCGAACAGG